AGAGUUUGAUCCUGGCUCAGGAUGAACGCUGGCGGCGUGCUUAACACAUGCAAGUCGAACGAAGCACUUUAUUUGAUUUCUUCGGAAUGAAGAUUUUGUGACUGAGUGGCGGACGGGUGAGUAACGCGUGGGUAACCUGCCUCAUACAGGGGGAUAACAGUUGGAAACGACUGCUAAUACCGCAUAAGCGCACAGGGUCGCAUGACCUGGUGUGAAAAACUCCGGUGGUAUGAGAUGGACCCGCGUCUGAUUAGCCAGUUGGUGGGGUAACGGCCUACCAAAGCGACGAUCAGUAGCCGACCUGAGAGGGUGACCGGCCACAUUGGGACUGAGACACGGCCCAAACUCCUACGGGAGGCAGCAGUGGGGAAUAUUGCACAAUGGGGGAAACCCUGAUGCAGCGACGCCGCGUGAGCGAAGAAGUAUUUCGGUAUGUAAAGCUCUAUCAGCAGGGAAGAAGAAAUGACGGUACCUGACUAAGAAGCACCGGCUAAAUACGUGCCAGCAGCCGCGGUAAUACGUAUGGUGCAAGCGUUAUCCGGAUUUACUGGGUGUAAAGGGAGCGCAGGCGGUACGGCAAGUCUGAUGUGAAAGCCCGGGGCUCAACCCCGGUACUGCAUUGGAAACUGUCGGACUAGAGUGUCGGAGGGGUAAGUGGAAUUCCUAGUGUAGCGGUGAAAUGCGUAGAUAUUAGGAGGAACACCAGUGGCGAAGGCGGCUUACUGGACGAUUACUGACGCUGAGGCUCGAAAGCGUGGGGAGCAAACAGGAUUAGAUACCCUGGUAGUCCACGCCGUAAACGA
Molecule: ribosomal RNA, 803 nt
Filed under: uncultured bacterium
Lineage: Bacteria
Description: bacterial SSU rRNA
Rfam family: Bacterial small subunit ribosomal RNA
Source: RNAcentral